AGAAAUGUGGCUUAGUGGUAGAGUACUUGCCUGGCAUGCAUGAAGCCCUGGGUUCAAUUCCUCAGUACCA
RNAcentral lists this transfer RNA (70 nucleotides) under Dipodomys ordii (Ord's kangaroo rat). It matches the Rfam family "tRNA". From Rfam's summary of the family: Transfer RNA (tRNA) molecules are approximately 80 nucleotides in length. Their secondary structure includes four short double-helical elements and three loops (D, anti-codon, and T loops). The record is from Rfam by way of RNAcentral. Lineage: Eukaryota; Metazoa; Chordata; Mammalia; Rodentia; Heteromyidae.